AGACAGUCCCUCUUUGACCCCAGGAGAAUAUGGGGACUCUCCGGUCCCCACACCACGAAGCAGCAGUGCAGCUUCCAUGGUAGAGGAAGAAGCAUCUGCGGUCACCACAGCAGCAGCCCAAUUUACUAAACUUCGGCGAGGCAUGGACGAGAAAGAGUUUACAGUUCAGAUCAAAGAUGUAAGCUCAGCAUUUAGGCACCAAGAAGUCAGGGAGGAGGUGGGACUUGUUAACUAGUUUCAUUAAUAGCAUGCUAGCACUUGGAAGGCCAAAACAGGUGGGUCACUGUGAAUGCAAGGCUAGCACUUAUUGAGUGCCAUCCUAGAUAGUGUGACCCUCUCUCUAAAAAAGAAAAGAAAAAGGGUUUAAUCCCAGCACCUGGGAGGGAGAAGCAGGGGCAUCUGAGUUUGAGGCCAGUCUGGUCUACAAAGAGAUUUCUAGGACAGCCAAGGCUACACCAGGAAACUCUUAGGGGGAAAAAAAUAAUAAAACUUUAUACACGUUUUGUUAGCUAAUUUUAAAAAUCAGAGCACAUAACAAUCCAUUUAGGAAAAAAUCUUUGGAGUAAAGGAAGGACGAAUUCCUAAAAAUUAAAUAAAAUCAUAGGUUGUUCAAUUAGAAUCAUUUUUUGGGGAAAAACAACCAUUUUACAAGGGUUGCCUAAGACCAUUGGAAAACAACGAUAUUUACAUUAUGAUUCAUAACACUAGCAAAAUUACAUUUAUGAAGUAGCAACACAAAUAAUUUUAUGGUUGGGUGUCACCAUAACUUGAACUUAUAGGAAGGCUGAGAACCACUGACAUGCACACACUUAAGUACGCACACGCGCACACGCGCGUGAACAAGAGAGAGAGAGAGAGAGAGCGCGCGCACGAGCAAGCGAGCCUAUACCAUAAAGCUUCACCAACAGGACUAGCAAACAAG
RNAcentral lists this long non-coding RNA (922 nucleotides) under Rattus norvegicus (Norway rat). RNAcentral's name for it is "long non-coding RNA NONRATT010838". Lineage: Eukaryota; Metazoa; Chordata; Mammalia; Rodentia; Muridae. The record is from RNAcentral.